GAUGAACGCUGGCGGCGUGCCUAAUACAUGCAAGUCGAGCGAACAGAUGAGGAUCUUGCUCCUCUGACGUUAGCGGCGGACGGGUAAGUAACAGGUGGAUAACCUACCUAUAAGACUUGGAUAACGUCGGGAAGCCGUAGCUAAGACCGGAUAAUAUAUUUAACCGCAUGGUUCAAUAGUUAAAUACGUGUUGGCUGUCACUUAUAGAUAGAUCCGCGCCGCAGUAGCUAGUUGGUAAGGUAACGGCGUACCAAGGCAACGAUGCGUAGCCGGCCGGAGAGGGUGAGCGGCCCUACUGGAACUGAGACCCGGUCCAGACCCCAAAGGGAGGCAGCAGUAGGGCAUCUGCCGCAAUGGGCGAAAGCCUGACGGUGCAACGCAGCGUGAGUGAGGAAGGUCUUGUGAUCGUAAAACUCUGUUAUUAGGGAAGCACAAAUGUGUAAGUACCAAUCUACGUUUUGACGGUACCUAAACAGAAAGCAACGGCUAACUACGUG
RNAcentral lists this ribosomal RNA (497 nucleotides) under uncultured bacterium. RNAcentral describes it as "partial 16S ribosomal RNA". It matches the Rfam family "Bacterial small subunit ribosomal RNA", at positions 28 to 507 of the family's 1533-position model. The record is from RNAcentral.